This is a long non-coding RNA of Oncorhynchus tshawytscha (Chinook salmon), 1225 nucleotides long. Lineage: Eukaryota; Metazoa; Chordata; Actinopteri; Salmoniformes; Salmonidae. The record is from Ensembl.
ACUAAGUCCUAAAUCUAUCUGUGACCAGGGAGUGCGUGACAUUCAGCCUCCCCACAUCACAAGGCAACAGAUUCACCGCAAUGAAGUAUUGUUUACCCUUUGACAGAGGGGCAUAUUUGAAAGCAGUUAAUCAGCUGGCUGGAGUGUUUACGGACAUAUUCAAUCUCUCCCUAUCCCAGUCUGCUUGCUUCAAGAUGUCUGCCAUUGUUCCUGUACCCAAGAAAGCAAAGAUCCACAAUCGACAUCGCACUGCACACUACCCUAUCCCAUCUGGAUAAGAGGAAUACCUAUGUAAGAAUACUGUUCAUUGACUAUAGCUCAGCAUUCAACACCAUAGUACCCUCCAAGCUCAUCAUUAAGCUCAGGGCCCUGGGUCUGAACCCCACCCUGUGCAACUGGGUCCUGGACUUCCUGACAGGCAGCCCCCAGGUGGUGAAGGUGGGAAACAAGGGUGCGUGCUCAGCCCCCUCCUGUACUUCCUGUUCACCCAUGACUGCCCUGGGAUUUUGGUGCCAGGAAAAUAACCUCUCACUCAAUGUCAACAAAACAAAGGAGCUGAUUGUGGAAAAAGCAGAGGGAGCACACCCCUAUCUACAUCGACGGGACCGCAGUGGACACGUCUCUGACAAUCAGAAAUAGUCCAGCCAUACAGACGGUGUGGUGAAGAAGGUGCAACAGUGCAACCUCAAGAGGCUGAAUAAACCCUCACAAACUUUUACAGAUGCACAAUUGAGAGCAUCCUGUCGGUCUGUAUCAUCGCCUGGUACAACAACUGCACCACCCGCAACCGCAGGGCUCUCCAGCGGGUGGUGCGGUCUGCCCACCGCAUCACCGGGGGCAAACUACCUGCCCUCCAGGACACUUACCGCACCCGAUGUCACAGGAAGGCCAAAAAUAUCAUCAAGGACAACAACCACCCGAGCCACUGCUCCUGCUAUCAUCCAGGAGGCGAGAUCAGUACAGGUGCAUCAAAGCUGGGACCGAGAGACUUAAAAACAGCUUCUAUCUCAAGGACAUCAGACUGUUACAUUACUAGGCGGAUUCCACCCGGUUAAGCAAUCCUGCACGUUAGAGACUGCUGCCCUAUAUACAUAGACUUGAAAUCACUGGUGUCGUGUCUUUGGCUAUGCCGGAUUAAGUGAUAUGACAUGCUAUUCUAUAAAAUCAUUUCUUCGUAAUUAAUAUUACCUGAUUGAGCUAAUCAUGUAAAUGUAAUUAACUAGAG